UACCAGCACCCCGAGUGGUCGGGACGAUUAUUGGGCCUAAAACAUCCGUAGCCGGUUCUACAAGUCUUCCGUUAAAUCCACCUGCUUAACAGAUGGGCUGCGGAGGAUACUAUGGAGCUAGGAGGCGGGAGAGGCAAGCGGUACUUAGUGGGUAGGGGUAAAAUCCGUUGAUCCAUUGAAGACCACCAGUGGCGAAGGCGGCUUGCCAGAACGCACUCGACGGUGAGGGAUGAAAGCUGGGGGAGCAAACCGG
This 253-nucleotide ribosomal RNA is filed under the name uncultured bacterium. Its description in RNAcentral is "partial 16S ribosomal RNA". It matches the Rfam family "Archaeal small subunit ribosomal RNA", at positions 474 to 727 of the family's 1478-position model. The record is from RNAcentral.